Transfer RNA from Hypholoma sublateritium FD-334 SS-4, 96 nucleotides. It matches the Rfam family "tRNA". From Rfam's summary of the family: Transfer RNA (tRNA) molecules are approximately 80 nucleotides in length. Their secondary structure includes four short double-helical elements and three loops (D, anti-codon, and T loops). Further hydrogen bonds mediate the characteristic L-shaped molecular structure. tRNAs have two regions of fundamental functional importance: the anti-codon, which is responsible for specific mRNA codon recognition, and the 3' end, to which the tRNAs corresponding amino acid is attached (by aminoacyl-tRNA synthetases). tRNAs cope with the degeneracy of the genetic code in two manners: having more than one tRNA (with a specific anti-codon) for a particular amino acid; and 'wobble' base-pairing, i.e. permitting non-standard base-pairing at the 3rd anti-codon position. NCBI's taxonomy places the organism in Eukaryota, Fungi, Basidiomycota, Agaricomycetes, Agaricales, Strophariaceae. The record is from Rfam.
GUCGGUAUCGAUUAGGGGUUAAAUCACUUCGUUGUGGCUGUGCUUAUGCAUUACGUAAUUACCGAAGAGCCGCAGGUUCGAUUCCUGCUACCGACA